This 560-nucleotide ribosomal RNA is filed under the name uncultured bacterium. Its description in RNAcentral is "bacterial SSU rRNA". It matches the Rfam family "Bacterial small subunit ribosomal RNA", at positions 338 to 916 of the family's 1533-position model. The record is from RNAcentral.
CCUACGGGAGGCAGCAGUGGGGAAUCUUGCGCAAUGGGCGAAAGCCUGACGCAGCCAUGCCGCGUGAAUGAUGAAGGUCUUAGGAUUGUAAAAUUCUUUCACCGGGGACGAUAAUGACGGUACCCGGAGAAGAAGCCCCGGCUAACUUCGUGCCAGCAGCCGCGGUAAUACGAAGGGGGCUAGCGUUGCUCGGAAUUACUGGGCGUAAAGGGAGCGUAGGCGGAUAGUUUAGUCAGAGGUGAAAGCCCAGGGCUCAACCUUGGAAUUGCCUUUGAUACUGGCUAUCUUGAGUUUGGGAGAGGUGAGUGGAACUCCGAGUGUAGAGGUGAAAUUCGUAGAUAUUCGGAAGAACACCAGUGGCGAAGGCGACUCACUGGCCCAAUACUGACGCUGAGGCUCGAAAGCGUGGGGAGCAAACAGGAUUAGAUACCCUGGUAGUCCACGCCGUAAACGAUGAGUGCUAGUUGUCGGCAUGCAUGCAUGUCGGUGACGCAGCUAACGCAUUAAGCACUCCGCCUGGGGAGUACGGUCGCAAGAUUAAAACUCAAAUGAAUUGACGG